ACUCAAAAAUCUUCUUAAGAUACUUGAUUAAUGAAAUUUAUACGGACUCAUUAAGAAUUUCCAUAUCUACGAAAAUCAUACAUCAAAAAAAAGAAUGUGGAAUAAUUCUUUAAACCAGCAUACAAUCUUCGAGUAUCUCUUCAGACCCUCACCGAACACACAUCAUUCUCACCGAACACACAUCAUUCACUUUGAUAUACUGAAGAAACAUAAGUCGGCCAUCUUUACAAGCCUAUCAUCCAUAAACUGUGUAAGAUUAAUACAUUCAUUACUCAACUUUUAUACAAGUUAUUACAUCUAAAAAAGUGAUAGUUUGUAGAUUGCAAGGAUUAGAUUAUCACCGGAAUGGAUUCCUCCC
RNAcentral lists this long non-coding RNA (358 nucleotides) under Brassica napus (rape). RNAcentral's name for it is "long non-coding RNA (BNAP_LNC026277)". Lineage: Eukaryota; Viridiplantae; Streptophyta; Magnoliopsida; Brassicales; Brassicaceae. The record is from RNAcentral.